This 417-nucleotide ribosomal RNA is filed under the name Triticum aestivum (bread wheat). RNAcentral's name for it is "partial small subunit ribosomal RNA". The record is from RNAcentral. Lineage: Eukaryota; Viridiplantae; Streptophyta; Magnoliopsida; Poales; Poaceae.
AUGAGAGGCAACAAUGUCAAGACCUUGGCGUUGAUGCUCGUAGUUGUGGGUCUUGUGGCACUCCAGCAAACCCAGCAAGUACAAGCAUCCCACUGUUGUUGCCAUCUAGACUCCGUCCCUACCUACUUUAAGUGCCGCGAGAAAUCUGAUAGCACCGUCUCAGAGUGCUGCGGUUCUUCUGAUGGCUAUAUAUCAGACGCCGCUGGAUUUGAAUGCAAGUCCGGUUUUAUAGAUAUAGAGACAGCACUGCAAGCAGCCGUCAACUACUGCAAGCUGGGGUGCAAGGCUUCCUUGUGCAACAAAGUAACUCCAUCUGGUAAGGAUGUAGGGAAAGAUGCCAUGGAACGCUGCACUAGUGGAUGCCACGAUCUGUGCACCAAGAACAAUGCCGAAAUUGCGCAAGUCGUCACAGCUUAA